Molecule: ribosomal RNA, 253 nt
Filed under: uncultured bacterium
Lineage: Bacteria
Description: partial 16S ribosomal RNA
Rfam family: Bacterial small subunit ribosomal RNA
Source: RNAcentral
UACGAAGGGGGCUAGCGUUGUUCGGAUUUACUGGGCGUAAAGCGCACGUAGGCGGAUCGUUAAGUCGGGGGUGAAAUCCUGGAGCUCAACUCCAGAACUGCCUUUGAUACUGGGGAUCUCGAGUCCGGAAGAGGUGAGUGGAACUCCGAGUGUAGAGGUGAAAUUCGUAGAUAUUCGGAAGAACACCAGUGGCGAAGGCGGCUCACUGGUCCGGUACUGACGCUGAGGUGCGAAAGCGUGGGGAGCAAACAGG